GACGAACGCUGGCGGCGUGCUUAACACAUGCAAGUCGAACGAAGAGCGAUGGAAGCUUGCUUCUAUCAAUCUUAGUGGCGAACGGGUGAGUAACGCGUAAUCAACCUGCCCUUCAGAGGGGGACAACAGUUGGAAACGACUGCUAAUACCGCAUACGAUCUAAUCUCGGCAUCGAGGAUAGAUGAAAGGUGGCCUCUACAUGUAAGCUAUCACUGAAGGAGGGGAUUGCGUCUGAUUAGCUAGUUGGAGGGGUAACGGCCCACCAAGGCGAUGAUCAGUGGCCGGUCUGAGAGGAUGAACGGCCACAUUGGGACUGAGACACGGCCCAGACUCCUACGGGAGGCAGCAGUGGGGAAUCUUCCGCAAUGGACGAAAGUCUGACGGAGCAACGCCGCGUGAGUGAUGACGGCCGUCGGGUUGUAAAGCUCUGUUAAUCGGGACGAAAGGCCUUCUUGCGAAUAGUGAGAAGGAUUGACGGUACCGGAAGAGAAAGCCACGGCUAACUACGUG
RNAcentral lists this ribosomal RNA (510 nucleotides) under uncultured bacterium. RNAcentral describes it as "partial 16S ribosomal RNA". It matches the Rfam family "Bacterial small subunit ribosomal RNA", at positions 28 to 507 of the family's 1533-position model. The record is from RNAcentral.